This 200-nucleotide ribosomal RNA is filed under the name uncultured bacterium. RNAcentral describes it as "partial 16S ribosomal RNA". It matches the Rfam family "Bacterial small subunit ribosomal RNA", at positions 32 to 225 of the family's 1533-position model. The record is from RNAcentral.
AAUCAACGCUGGCGGCGUGCCUAACACAUGCAAGUCGAACGCGAAAGGGGCAUCGGCCCUGAGUAGAGUGGCGUCCGGGUGAGUAACGCGUGGGUAAUCUGCCUCUGGGUGGGGAAUAACUCAGGGAAACUUGAGCUAAUACCGCAUAAUGCAGCGGCUCGACAUCGAGACAGUUGUUAAAGCAGAAAUGCGCCUAGAGA